GUCGAACGAGAAUUGCGAAUAGCUUGCUAAUUGCAAUUUUAGUGGCGGACGGGUGAGUAACACGUGAGCAACCUGCCCGAAAGUGGGGAAUAGCCCGAGGAAACUCGGAUUAAUACCGCAUAUGAUUUUGCAGGGCAUCCUGCAAAAAUCAAAGCUGGGGAUCGCAAGACCUGGCGCUUUCGGAUGGGCUCGCGGCCUAUCAGCUUGUUGGUGAGGUAACGGCUUACCAAGGCGACGACGGGUAGCUGGUCUGAGAGGAUGAUCAGUCACACUGGAACUGAGACACGGUCCAGACACCUACGGGUGGCAGCAGUCGAGAAUCAUUCACAAUGGGGGAAACCCUGAUGGUGCGACGCCGCGUGGAGGAUGACGGCCCUAGGGUUGUAAACUCCUGUCAUCAGAGAGUAACGUUGUGUGGUUAAUACCCGCGCAAUUUGAUAGUAUCUGAAGAGGAAGGGACGGCUAACUUCGUGCCAGCAGCCGCGGUAAUACGAAGGUCCCAAGCGUUGUUCGGAAUUACUGGGCGUAAAGCGUGUGUAGGCGGCGAAGUAAGUCAGAUGUGAAAUCCCGGGGCUCAACCUCGGAACUGCAUCCGAUACUGCUUUGCUAGAGGACUGGAGGGGGGUCUGGAAUUCUCGGUGUAGCAGUGAAAUGCGUAGAUAUCGAGAGGAACACUAGUGGCGAAGGCGAGACCCUGGACAGAUCCUGACGCUGAGACACGAAGGCUAGGGUAGCGAACG
RNAcentral lists this ribosomal RNA (740 nucleotides) under uncultured marine bacterium. RNAcentral describes it as "bacterial SSU rRNA". It matches the Rfam family "Bacterial small subunit ribosomal RNA", at positions 61 to 774 of the family's 1533-position model. The record is from RNAcentral.